GAUGAAGAACGCAGCGAAAUGCGAUAAGUAGUGUGAAUUGCAGAAUUCAGUGAAUCAUCGAAUCUUUGAACGCACAUUGCGCCCCUUGGUAUUCCAUGGGGCAUGCCUGUUCGAGCGUCAUUUGUACCUUCAAGCUCUGCUUGGUGUUGGGUGUUUGUCUCGCCUCUGCGUGUAGACUCGCCUCAAAACAAUUGGCAGCCGGCGUAUUGAUUUCGGAGCGCAGUACAUCUCGCGCUUUGCACUCAUAACGACGACGUCCAAAAGUACAUUUUUACACUCUUGACCUCGGAUCAGGUAGGGAUACCCGCUGAGCUUAAGCAUAUCAAUAAGCGGAGGA
This 337-nucleotide unclassified non-coding RNA is filed under the name soil metagenome. RNAcentral describes it as "partial contains 5.8S ribosomal RNA, internal transcribed spacer 2, and large subunit ribosomal RNA". The stretch from base 1 to 120 matches the Rfam family "5.8S ribosomal RNA", at positions 35 to 154 of the family's 154-position model. The record is from RNAcentral.